This 500-nucleotide ribosomal RNA is filed under the name uncultured bacterium. RNAcentral's name for it is "partial 16S ribosomal RNA". It matches the Rfam family "Bacterial small subunit ribosomal RNA", at positions 28 to 523 of the family's 1533-position model. The record is from RNAcentral.
GAUGAACGCUGGCGGCAUGCCUUACACAUGCAAGUCGAACGGCAGCGGGGACUUCGGUCCGCCGGCGAGUGGCGAACGGGUGAGUAAUGUAUCGGAACGUACCAUUGAGUGGGGGAUAACGUAGCGAAAGUUACGCUAAUACCGCAUAUUCUCUCCGGAGGAAAGCAGGGGACCGCAAGGCCUUGCGCUCUUUGAGCGGCCGAUAUCAGAUUAGCUAGUUGGUGAGGUAAAGGCUCACCAAGGCGACGAUCCGUAGCGGGUCUGAGAGGAUGAUCCGCCACACUGGAACUGAGACACGGUCCAGACUACUACGGGAGGCAGCAGUGAGGAAUUUUGGACAAUGGGGGCAACCCUGAUCCAGCCAUGCCGCGUGAGUGAAAAAGGCCUUCGGGUUGUAAAGCUCUUUCAGCCGGGAAAAAAUCGCAUGGGCUAAUACCCUGUGUGGAUGAUGGUACCGGAAUAAGAAGCACCGGCUAACUACGUGCCAGCCGCCGCAGUAA